AGAGGAGUGGUAGAGUGGUUUAUUGCACCGGUCUUGAAAACCGGAGACCGUUCACGCGGUCCGGGGGUUCGAAUCCCUCCUCCUCUGCCA
This 90-nucleotide transfer RNA is filed under the name Cytophagales bacterium. RNAcentral's name for it is "tRNA-Ser". It matches the Rfam family "tRNA". Rfam says of the family: Transfer RNA (tRNA) molecules are approximately 80 nucleotides in length. Their secondary structure includes four short double-helical elements and three loops (D, anti-codon, and T loops). The record is from RNAcentral. Lineage: Bacteria; Pseudomonadati; Bacteroidota; Cytophagia; Cytophagales. RNAcentral also lists the same sequence under 2 other names.